GGUAGUUCAAGUGGCAGCUAUGUAUGGGGUAGUGGUCAAGGAGGUUCAAAGGGGUCUGGAAGUCUAGGAGGUUUUGGUGGAAGU
Maniola jurtina (meadow brown) is the source of this 84-nucleotide long non-coding RNA. RefSeq lists it as uncharacterized. The record is from RefSeq and is a predicted model, not a curated record. NCBI's taxonomy places the organism in Eukaryota, Metazoa, Arthropoda, Insecta, Lepidoptera, Nymphalidae. The transcript has 3 exons.